CCGACACUUUUCUAGACUUUGCCAUGUCAGGCAUCUCCUUCCCUUCCCUGGUCCCCCAUCUUUCCCCACCGCCCCUCCUCCCCCUACAACCUGACCACAUUCAUCCCGUCUCCUCGCCAUCGAAGACCUCCACGAGGACCUCUACAGGUCUAUCUUCGCGCUCUACCUCGCUGGCCGUUGCAGGGCCUCCUGGAGUUCAUUGCCUCGACAGAUUGGUCACACGCGAGGCUCGACAUCAAGCGCCACUGCGGCGAGCACCUCGACCCACAUUUAAUGAACCCCUUUGUUAGUGUGUCCUUCUGUGGCGUCAAGCCAGAGUUCUGAUAUGGGAUCUGAUCUCGUGUCGCACCCGCAAAACUCGAUAUCAAGCGCUGUUGCGGCAAGCACCUCCAUCCGCAGCUAUGGAACCCUUUCGUCGACGUGACCAGGUCCUUCCCUGGGGUCAAGCGAGAGUUCUAAGAUACGAUGUAGUCCCACCUUGCUACCCUUCCCCAAUGGCCCCAUUGCAUGUUGGCUCCUGGCUGACCUCUGUACCAUGCGACUCCCUUGCGCGGCCGCGCGUGAACACUGUCGCCUCGCUCCCAGAUCCUUAUCUGGGGAUUGCAGCUGCUUCAGAUACAUGACUACCAGGUUUAUACUCUCAUCUUCUUGUCCCGGAUUUGGAUUAGCUUUGUUUCUUCAGUUGUUGCGGGAAGGUGUCUGAUUCGAGCGCAUAUUUGAGGAUUUGUGGAUUGUGUUGUUUUAUUUGUUCGCUGUUGUUCCUGUUCAGGUUUAGGAUCGUGGUUUUAUGGUCACUUUUUUGUGAGCCCGAACAUAGGUUUCUAUAACCAACUUAAUAGUAAAGAAAAUUUUAUGGUGCUACCGGAAGCAGCUGGCGGCUACUAGGGCAUGUCAUGACCAGACGUGGUCAGCUCAGUGAGUUGUGAUCCUGCAAUAACUCAAUUGGUGCUCCCUAGAGUUAUUGCAGAAUAUCAACUUAGAUUGGAUUCUCUCUUUGUUGUUCUACUGUCUUUUCUUAGUUAAGCACUUCAGCCAUAUGCCAUUCGUAAUGAAAUAGCUUUGGAUGUUGCAGAAAAUUUUGAUUGACAUAGAGAGUCCCAUUUUGACCUUUGUACCACUGCUUUAAUUUGAAUGUGGUACAAGGAGAAACAUACCAAAGUUCGAGGUAAGACACUGGAUCAUUUGAACUUUCUAGCGUUGUUUAGUUUCAUAUUUCUGCCAUCAUGCAUACUUAAAUUGUGAAAUGUGUAUAUGUAGUUCUUAACAUAUGUUAAGUAGCAUGUGGUUUUAGUUUUUUACCCUCUUCUAAAUUGGGAUAUAGUCUUUCCGUACCUUUAUGAUUGAGGUUAUAGCAGUUUUUUGUGCUCAAAUUAACAAAAAAGUAUAGAAUAACCACAUGCUUCUAUUAAACCUGCCUUUUUCUACUUUGCAACUUAAAUUAAUUCUCCUAAAAUGCAUACAUUUGCAUUGUUCAAAACUAUAAAUUUGUCGAUUGUUCCACUAUUUAAGAUACAUUUUUAGAUACUGUGAUUGAUCUCAUUAAACCAUGUUGGUUUCUACAACCAACUUAACAGUCAAGGAAAAUUUACAUUGGUACCGGACGCAGCUGGUGGCUACUAGGGCACGCCAUGAGCAAACACAGCCAGCUUAGUGACUUGAUAUCUUGCAAUAACUCUAUUGGUGCUCUCUAGAGUUAUUGCAGCAUAUCAACUUAGAUUGGAUUCUCUCUUUGUUGUUCUACUAUCUUCACUUAGUUCAGCCACAUGUCGUUCAUAAUGAAAUAGCUUUGGUUAUUGCAGAACUUUUGGUAGACAUAGCGGGUCCUAGUUUGGCCUUUCUACCAGUGCUUUCAUUUCAAUGCGGUACAAGGAGAAACAUACCAAAGUUUGAGAUUUAUGGCAUACACACAAUGAUACCAGUAUCAGUGUGUGUCUGUUGCCGGAGAUAGAAGGACUGACCUUCCUUGAGUGGACACACUUUAUCUUCCUGAAAAAAGUAAAGAUGGUGGAUUUCAUCUCCAUCAUGAGCAUGUUCUAGGUCAGGUCAAGGCUCUACACUUCUUUCAUCUGGUACUCUAAUUAGAUCUACUACAUAUUUAAAGGUGGAAUAGAUUGUAGGCUGAUAAACUUGGAUAUUUUUGAGCAUGUAAAGCUUUCGAAAGUCUUUUUACAGUCUGUCAAUUACGCCAGUUCGAACCAGGAAAUCCAGGCGCAUUGCUGCCAGAGUAGUAGUGCUAGACCUUUCUGUAGUAGUCAAUGUCACAGUUUUGCUUGAUCAAGCUUUGUUUACUGUCUUUGCUAAUUCCUAGCCACACAUGUAUUGCGCCAUUAUGUUGUCGUUCCUUCUCUACUCUGAAAUUACUAGCCACACAUUUGUUGUGUUAUUGUGCAUUUCUUCUGUUAUUUAUGCACUGUUACUCCAAUAAUUAUUGUCGAGCAUGCUGUCACUAUUACUGUGUUGGAUGCCAGGUUCUUUUUAUAGGAUAGCAAUAUAAGUUUGCAGUUGUAUUAAGUUGUUCCCUUGAUCUUAGAUAUGGAUUUAUUUUGGAA
Zea mays is the source of this 2549-nucleotide long non-coding RNA. RefSeq lists it as uncharacterized. Lineage: Eukaryota; Viridiplantae; Streptophyta; Magnoliopsida; Poales; Poaceae. The record is from RefSeq and is a predicted model, not a curated record. The transcript is spliced from 2 exons.